CCCAUCUGUUUGUGGUCAGGCGUUGAGUUGCCCACAGGCAAGUUGGUGAAAUACGGCCUCUACUACAACAAGUGAACUCUCCUUCCUGUGGUCUCUCAUCCUGCGUGUGACAAACGUGAGAAGCAGCUGUCAUGGGGUCCUUCCUGUCGUCCAUUUCCUGAAUACCAAGGAAUGUCCACAUACAUUAAAAAAAAAAAAAAGAAGAAGUGCUAUAAAAGGAAAAGAGUGGUUACCACUUAAAGCCAUGGAACACGGUUGCUUUUAUAUCAGAAGUUAGCAGAAUUUGGAGACAAAUUCCUAACUUUUAAUAACAAAAUGCCAGGGACAUUGGAAAGGACAUAGAAAGAACUGUGUUAUCAGAGUGCUAAAAAAUGAACUACUCUACAACCAAUUUCUAUCCCAGGAGUUAGAAGGAAUGACAGAGAAGGGGAGAGGGAAGGAAGGACACUGAAAACAUAAACAUUAAGGUUAGGAACAUCUCAUCUCUCUUCCGGCUUUUCUACCUCCUUUUUUUUUUUUCUGUAAAAAGCCAAACAGUAAAUCUUUUUAACUUUGUGGGCUACACAUCUCUAUCACGAUAAUCAACUUUCCCAUUGCAAUGUGGGUUAAAAGAAAAAUUUUAGACAACGUGAAUUUAACAGUUUCACUGAGCAGAGAAUGAUUCAUGAACGGACCCCCAGACCAGAAUAGAUUCAGAGUGACUCUGUGGCUGCCUUAUGGUCACAUAAUAUGUAUGGACAGGAAAUUGAAAGCAAUUCACAGAUGACAGAGGUGAGUUACAAAGAGCUGGAUUGGCACAAAAGUAGGUGGCUGGGCAUGGUGGCCCACAACUAUAAUCUCAGCGCUUUGGGAGGCAAAAGUGGGAGGAUUGCUUGAGCCCAGGAGUUCAAGACCAGCCUGGGCAACAUAGUUGGAACCUAUGUCUACAGGUAUUUCAAAAAAGCAUUAAGUGGGCAUGCUGGCAUGUACCUAUGGUGAGCCAUGAUUGCACCACUGCACUCCAGCCUGGGAGAUGGAGUGAGACCUUGUCUCCUCCAUACUAAAAGAAAAAAAAAAAAAACAAGUAGGUUAGAGUCUGCACAAUGAGUUCUGUUACAGUUCACUUACAAAAAAAUCUUUAGGCUGAACUUAAAACAUGUAAGGAAGCAGCUUUAUGCUAAAUUUAAGAUAACAUGUGGAAGCAGUCAUGGACAAUAUGUCAGCAAAUGGGAGAGGCUGUGUUCCAAUAAAAUUUUAUUUAAAAAAACAAGCGAUGGGUCAGCUGAACUCGUAUAGUGUA
This 1279-nucleotide long non-coding RNA is filed under the name Homo sapiens (human). RNAcentral's name for it is "HSALNT0288448". The record is from RNAcentral. Lineage: Eukaryota; Metazoa; Chordata; Mammalia; Primates; Hominidae.